This 67-nucleotide transfer RNA is filed under the name Semibalanus balanoides (northern acorn barnacle). Its description in RNAcentral is "tRNA-Ile". The record is from RNAcentral. Lineage: Eukaryota; Metazoa; Arthropoda; Thecostraca; Balanomorpha; Balanidae.
AAUAAGGUGCCUGAUAAAAGGGUUACUUUGAUAGAGUAAAUCAUGUAGGUCGGUCUUACCCUUAUUA